This 1670-nucleotide ribosomal RNA is filed under the name human gut metagenome. RNAcentral's name for it is "bacterial LSU rRNA". It matches the Rfam family "Bacterial large subunit ribosomal RNA", at positions 716 to 2404 of the family's 2925-position model. The record is from RNAcentral.
CGAAACCGGGUGACCUAUCCAUGAGCAGGUUGAAGUAACCGUAAAAGGUUAUGGAGGACCGAACCUAUAUCUGUUGAAAAAGGUUAGGAUGACUUGUGGAUAGCGGUGAAAUUCCAAUCGAACUCGGAUAUAGCUGGUUCUCCUCGAAAUAGCUUUAGGGCUAGCCUCAAGGAAAGAUAUGCGGGGGUAGAGCACUGACUGUUCGCGGGGCCUUCACCGGUUACCAACAACUAUCAAACUCCGAAUACCGUUAUAUUAUACUUGGGAGUCAGACUAUGAGAGAUAAGUUCCAUGGUCGAAAGGGAAACAGCCCAGAUCAACAGCUAAGGUCCCAAAGAGUAAGUUAAGUGGAAAAGGAUGUGGGAUUGCACAAACAGCUAGGAUGUUGGCUUAGAAGCAGCCAUUCAUUUAAAGAGUGCGUAAUAGCUCACUAGUCGAGUGAUCCUGCGCCGAAGAUAAACGGGGCUAAAACUUACCACCGAAGCUUUGGAAUUGCUUAGGCAAUUGGUAGAGGAGCGUUCUGUACGGGCAGAAGGGAAGUCGUAAGGCGACCUGGACUGUAUAGAAGAGAGAAUGUUGGCAUGAGUAGCGUAAGGCGGGUGAGAAUCCCGUCCGCCGAAAAUCUAAGGUUUCCUGAGGAAGGUUCGUCCUCUCAGGGUAAGUCGGGACCUAAGCCGAGAGCGAGAGUUGUAGGCGAUGGACAACAGGUUAAUAUUCCUGUACUACCGAUGAUUGUAUGAGUGAAGUGGGGACGCAGAAGGAUAAGUUGAGCACGCCGUUGGUUGAGCGUGUCCAAGCAGUGAGGUUUGAAUGUAGGCAAAUCCGCAUUCUAUAAGAUUGAGCUGUGAUGGGGUGACGAAAGUCAAUAAGCAACUGAUUUCACGCUGCCGAGAAAAGCCACUAGCGAGAUCAAAGGUACCCGUACCGCAAACCGACACAGGUAGAUGAGGAGAGAAUCCUAAGGUGAGCGAGCGAACUAUUGUUAAGGAACUCGGCAAAAUAACCCCGUAACUUCGGGAGAAGGGGUGCCCACAAAUGUGGGCCGCAGUGAAGAGGUCCAGGCAACUGUUUACCAAAAACACAGGUCUCUGCUAAAUCGAAAGAUGAAGUAUAGGGGCUGACGCCUGCCCGGUGCUGGAAGGUUAAGGGGAAGUGUUAGAGCAAUCGAAGCACCGAACUUAAGCCCCAGUAAACGGCGGCCGUAACUAUAACGGUCCUAAGGUAGCGAAAUUCCUUGUCGGGUAAGUUCCGACCCGCACGAAAGGCGUAAUGAUCUGGACACUGUCUCAACAAUAGGCUCGGUGAAAUUGUAGUACCGGUAAAGAUGCCGGUUACCCGCAGCAGGACGGAAAGACCCCGUGGAGCUUCACUGUAGCUUGAUAUUGAGUUUCGGCGUUGCAUGUACAGGAUAGGUGGGAGACUAUGAGACGGGUACGCCAGUAUCCGUGGAGUCACCGUUGGGAUACCACCCUUGUAACGUUGGAAUUCUAACCGAGUAUCGUAAUCCGGUACCGGGACAGUGUCAGGUGGGCAGUUUGACUGGGGCGGUCGCCUCCUAAAGAGUAACGGAGGCGCCCAAAGGUUCCCUCAGCGCGGACGGAAAUCGCGCGAAGAGUGCAAAGGCAAAAGGGAGCUUGACUGCGAGACAUACAGGUCGAGCAGGGACGAAA